Long non-coding RNA from Alligator mississippiensis (American alligator), 516 nucleotides. RefSeq lists it as uncharacterized. The transcript has 6 exons. NCBI's taxonomy places the organism in Eukaryota, Metazoa, Chordata, Crocodylia, Alligatoridae. The record is from RefSeq and is a predicted model, not a curated record.
GCUGCGCGGAGCGGGGACCGCUCGGCAGCUGCAGCCUCGCGCGGGGAGCGGCGCGGAGCCCGCGGGCUCGGGUCAUGCUGCGCACGCCCUGCUGCUGCCGCUCGCCCCUGCCCCUGCUUCUGUCCCGCCGCGGGAAUAAUGCACUAGGAUGUCAGCGCUGAGAAAGGAUUUCUCAUCCACUGAAGCACGAGUGUAACCACUGAAAGUUCACCCCUGCUGCUACUUGUGAAUGCCUGCAACGUGCACAAGGCUCAGACAUUAUGGGGACGACUCAGGUUCUGCCUGGCAUACUGCAAAAGCACUGCUGUAUUUUACCGGACAGGAAUACAGAGUCACAGUGUACGCUCUGUGGGGAGCCUGAAGGUUUGGAUUCUCUAUCAGGGCAUGCAUUUCCAGAGCUGCAAGUGUUAUGAGCAUAUUGAGGACUUCCAGAAGCUGGAUUAGAGCAUGUCUUUUAGAAUGAUAUCUAAGGCCGUCUUAAGACUCCAAGCAAUGGUGAGUCCACCGGCUCCCGUG